GCUGGUGCGGUGGUGCACGCCUGUAGUCCUAGCUACUCCGGAGGCUGAGACAGGACGAUCGCUUGAGUCCAGUUCUGGGCUGUAAUGCGCCAUGCUGAUCGGGUGUCCGCACCAAGUUUGGCAUCAAUAUGGUGACCUCUCUGGAGCAGGGGACCACCAGGUUGCCUAAGGAGGUGUGAACCGGCCCAGGUCGGAAAAGGAGCAGGUCAAAACUCCCGUGUUGAACAGUAAUGGGAUCGCACCUGUGAACGGCAGUAACAAUAGAGACUAGCCACUGCUCGACAGCCUGGGCAACACAGCGAGACGCCGUCUCU
Molecule: signal recognition particle RNA, 314 nt
Filed under: Mus pahari (shrew mouse)
Lineage: Eukaryota; Metazoa; Chordata; Mammalia; Rodentia; Muridae
Description: sRNA (MGP_PahariEiJ_G0008059.1)
Rfam family: Metazoan signal recognition particle RNA
About the family: The signal recognition particle (SRP) is a universally conserved ribonucleoprotein. It is involved in the co-translational targeting of proteins to membranes.
Source: RNAcentral